UCGAUUUGAGAUGUUGGGUUAAGUCCCGCAACGAGCGCAACCCUCGUCCUCUGUUGCCAUCAGGUUAAGCUGGGCACUCUGAGGAGACUGCCGGUGAUAAACCGGAGGAAGGUGGGGAUGACGUCAAGUCAGCAUGGCCUUUAUGUCCAGGGCUACACACGUGCUACAAUGGCGGAUACAAAGCGUCGCGAUCUCGCAAGAGUGAGCUAAUCGCAGAAAGUCCGUCUCAGUUCGGAUUGCAGGCUGCAACUCGCCUGCAUGAAGUUGGAAUCGCUAGUAAUCGCGGAUCAGCAUGCCGCGGUGAAUACGUUCCCGGGCCUUGUACACACCGCCCGUCACAUCACGAAAGCUGGCUGUACUAGAAGUAGCCCCGCCAACCCGCAAGGGAGGCA
RNAcentral lists this ribosomal RNA (392 nucleotides) under uncultured Acidobacteriota bacterium. RNAcentral describes it as "bacterial SSU rRNA". It matches the Rfam family "Bacterial small subunit ribosomal RNA", at positions 1065 to 1451 of the family's 1533-position model. The record is from RNAcentral. Lineage: Bacteria; Pseudomonadati; Acidobacteriota.